RNAcentral lists this ribosomal RNA (252 nucleotides) under uncultured bacterium. RNAcentral describes it as "partial 16S ribosomal RNA". It matches the Rfam family "Bacterial small subunit ribosomal RNA", at positions 524 to 776 of the family's 1533-position model. The record is from RNAcentral.
UACGAAGGGGGCUAGCGUUGCUCGGAAUCACUGGGCGUAAAGCGCACGUAGGCGGCUUUUUAAGUCAGAGGUGAAAUCCUGGAGCUCAACUCCAGAACUGCCUUUGAUACUGGAAGCUUGAGUUCGGGAGAGGUGAGUGGAACUGCGAGUGUAGAGGUGAAAUUCGUAGAUAUUCGCAAGAACACCAGUGGCGAAGGCGGCUCACUGGCCCGAUACUGACGCUGAGGUGCGAAAGCCAGGGGAGCGAACGGG